RNA transcript from Felis catus (domestic cat), 3048 nucleotides. It is a transcript of the gene named ankyrin repeat domain-containing protein 26-like, with no coding region annotated. The transcript has 6 exons. The record is from RefSeq and is a predicted model, not a curated record. Lineage: Eukaryota; Metazoa; Chordata; Mammalia; Carnivora; Felidae.
UAAAGCAGGACUCUACGAAUUCUACUUUGGUUUCAUUUUCAUUCAGUUCAGAAUCCUUUCUAAUGUUUUUCUCUUUUCAUUACUUCUUUGACCCAGGGGAUAUUUUGAUGUGUUCUGUAGUUCGCAGAUAGUUGAGUAUUUUCCAGAGAUGGUUUUGUUCUUCAUUUCUGAUUUGAUUGCUUUGUGGUCAGGGGACACACUUUUAUGACUUCAGGCCUCUUGACUUCUUCCUUUUAUUAAGAUUUAUUUUUUGACCCAGAUUAUAGUCUUUUUUGGUAAGCGUUCCAUGGAUCCUUGGGAAGAAUAGUGGUGGUCAAGUCUACUGUGUCCUUGCUGAUGUUGUGCCUACUGAAAUAUCAGACUAUAAUUGUGAAUUUGCCUAUUUCUCUCUUCAGUUCUAUCAAUUUUUGCUUCAGGUACUUUGAAGCUAUUAACAGAUCCAUGAACAUUUAAGAUUGCUAUUAAUUGACCCUUUUAUGAUUAUACAAUGACCUGUUGUUUAUUGCUGGUAAUAAUUUUUUGCUUUGAAACUGUGUUGUCUGGUAUUCAUACAGCCACUCUAGCUCAGCCUUCUUUGGUCAAGUGUUAGUGUGCUAUAUCAUAUUUCUGUCUUUUGAACAAAUUUCUGUCUUGACAUUUAAAGUGCAUUUUGUAUAGGUAGCGUAUAGCUGAGUCUUCCUUUUUUCUCCAUUCUGACACUCUGCGUCUUAGUUGAGGCUUUUAGACCGUUUUCCUUUACUGUGAUUAUUGAUAUAGUUGAUUUGAAUCUGUCAUCAUGCUGUUUGAUUUGCAUUUGUCCUAUGUGCUCCUUGUUCCUUUUCUCUUCUUUUUCCGGUUUCUUUUAAUCGAGUCAUUUUUAUGAUUCAGUUUUAUCUAUUUCUUAUUUAUUUGUUUAUUCACUUAUUCACUUAUUCCCUUAUUUACUUAGGCUUCCUAGCUAGAACUUUUCAGUUUUGCUAUUGUGGUGGUUGGUUUAGGUUUUAUAGUCUGUGGGUUAAACAUCACAGUCUAGCUUCCAUUAAUGUUAUACCACAUCGUAUAUAGUUUAGGAAAAUUACAAUAGUUUACUUCCAUUUCUUCUUUCCUAGACAGAUCCUACCUGGGUCGGUGGGAUUAUAGUUUUCAUGAAGUUUAGGAAGAUUUGGGCCAUUUUUUUUUUCCUGUCCCUUUCCCCUGCCUCUCUGGGCAAUUGUGUAUUUCCCCCUUGAAGUUUUCUCCCGGGUUUCCAGUGUUAAACUUCAGUCUUGUGUUUUGUGAUGUCUAAUGUGUUUAUUCCUGUCCAUCGUAUUGUUCAUGUCUAACAUAAUUUACAUCUCUGUAAGUGCUAUUUGGUUUUUAAAACAAUAGCUUCUAUGCCUCUAGUUAUCUUUUCAUGCUUUGUUUGGAGAUACAGUUAAGUUACUUACAAACAGUUGGAUCCUUUAGUCUUACUCUUAGGAAUUAUUGGAUGAAUCCAGAGUGGUGAUCAGCCUAAGGCAAAUCAUGAGUUUUUCUAUCCUAGCUAAUGUGAAUAGAUACUGUCCCUCGUGCUGUGGGAGCACCAGGCAGUGUUUCCUCUAUCUUUUCAGAUUUUUUUCCCUUGAUGACUUCCUUCCCUGUAUGCACUGGUUGUUACUCUGCUGAAUAGCCAAAGGGGACCCUCUGCAGAUGUCCAGGGUUCUUUCUGUGUUCUUUCUCCUAUCCUGGAUGCUGACCUGUCAUCUCUAUGUGCCUUGAAUUCACCAGACUCUCAGUUUUGUCACCUCGACUCAAGGAGUCUGGUGGAGUCUAUUUAAAUCAUUUAUGUCUCCUGGGUCGUAGCCUGAAAACUCUCUCAAGGCAGUGAGCUUGGGCAUGUGUUAGGCUAACGUGUUUUGUUUUCAGGGAUCAUUGUCCUUCAUUGUCUGAAGUUCUGUGUCUUGAAAAUCAUGUUAAAAUUCUAAUUUGUUUUGUUUUUGCCUGCUUCAGGUAGGAAGAUCAAUCAGUACAUGUUACUCCAUGUCAGCCAGAAGCAGGUUACAGUGGAACUUCGGCACAUGCUCUAGACUGUCGAGGGUGCUUGUCUUCCUCCUUUGCUUAAUUGCCUCCUGCUCAUCCUUCAUUCCUCAGUAGAGUUAUCUCUUCCUCAGGGAAAUCUUUCUUUCUUGGGCCCAAUCUGGAUCAAGUUAUGAUCACAGAACUCUGUUUUCUAAUAGGAACUAUCUGAAUUUAGACUUAUCAUUUGAGUUGUCUUUCUCCUUCACCAGACUUUAAGCUAAUCGAGAACCAGGGGUCUUCUCAAGUGUAUCUGUAGAGCUGAGUAUAAUGUCUUACAUUGAAGAUUCUGGUGACUUCUUAAAAAUCCAGGAUAUACUUGUUUCCUAUGAAAGAUUAAGGAAACGUACAAAAAUCACUGUAAACUACUUAUGGGAAAAAUUAAAAAAAUGGAAAAAAACGGUUAGUGCACUACAAAACGAGCUAUGAGAAGCCAACGGCGUGAUAUCAUGAUUUACUUUAAAACAAGAGGAAGGAACAAGAAAUGCUGAUAUGUUACAUGAAAAAAUUAGGGAGAAGUUAAGAAGAACAGAAGACCAAUAUAAGAAAGAAGUUGAAACAAAACAAGAAUUUGAACUCGCUCUUAGAACACUAAACAUGGAAUUGAAGGCCACAAAAGGUCAUUUGAAUCAGAUAGUUGUGAGACAACUUCAACAAGAACUGGCUGAUACUCUGAAGAAACAGUCUAUGUCACACGCUUCCCCGGAGGUUAUGUCACAUCUUCGUCUGGAAGAUGAGACACGGGAUCUCAAGAAGAAAUUAGGUCGAAUCAGAAGUCAAGCUAGAAGUUCAAAAUGCCAGACAGGAAAAAACCAUCAAACAGCAAGUGUCCCAAAUUCAAGACCUUCAGAGCAACUUGUUAAAGACAAGUUUGCUGCUACCGAAUUUGAAUGAGGAUCCUGUAGAACUCCUUUAAGUAUCUACUGAUGAUUCAAUUCUAAAUCAAGAUCCAGUAUGGAAAGCGUCACGAGAAUGUGUACAGAUUUUGAACAAAAAUUAUAUGAUUUGAAAAAUAAAUAGAAAAAAUUUACUGGA